UAAAGAUUCAUCGCUGAUAGAUAGGCAUGCGUUCCAUUAGGCAGUUGGCGGGGUAACGGCCCACCAAACCGACGAUGGAUAGGGGUUCUGAGAGGAAGGUCCCCCACAUUGGUACUGAGACACGGACCAAACUCCUACGGGAGGCAGCAGUGAGGAAUAUUGGUCAAUGGGCGUAAGCCUGAACCAGCCAAGUCGCGUGAGGGAUGAAGGUUCUAUGGAUCGUAAACCUCUUUUAUAAGGGAAUAAAGUGUGGGACGUGUCCUGUUUUGUAUGUACCUUAUGAAUAAGGAUCGGCUAACUCCGUGCCAGCAGCCGCGGUAAUACGGAGGAUCCGAGCGUUAUCCGGAUUUAUUGGGUUUAAAGGGUGCGUAGGCGGCCUUUUAAGUCAGCGGUGAAAGUCUGUGGCUCAACCAUAGAAUUGCCGUUGAAACUGGGGGGCUUGAGUAUGUUUGAGGCAGGCGGAAUGCGUGAUGUAGCGGUGAAAUGCUUAGAUAUCACGCAGAACCCCGAUUGCGAAGGCAGCCUGCCAAGCCAUGACUGACGCUGAUGCACGAAAGCGUGGGGAUCAAACAGGAUUAGAUACCCUGGUAGUCCACGCAGUAAACGAUGAUCACUAGCUGUUUGCGAUACAGUGUAA
This 637-nucleotide ribosomal RNA is filed under the name uncultured bacterium. RNAcentral describes it as "bacterial SSU rRNA". It matches the Rfam family "Bacterial small subunit ribosomal RNA", at positions 202 to 842 of the family's 1533-position model. The record is from RNAcentral.